RNAcentral lists this ribosomal RNA (1377 nucleotides) under metagenome. RNAcentral describes it as "bacterial SSU rRNA". It matches the Rfam family "Bacterial small subunit ribosomal RNA", at positions 8 to 1386 of the family's 1533-position model. The record is from RNAcentral.
AGAGUUUGAUCCUGGCUCAGGACAAACGCUGGCGGCGUGCUUAAGCUUAUGCAAGUCGAACGAUUAAAGCUUUCUUCGGAGUGUAUAAAGUGGCGAACGGGUGAGUAACACGUGGGUAACCUACCCUUUAGUGGGGAAUAACAUUUUGAAAGAGAUGCUAAUACCGCAUGAGUUUGCAGAUUCGCAUGUAACUGCAAAGAAAGAUUUAUCGCCAAAGGAUGGGCCCGCGGGCUAUUAGCUAGAUGGUGGGGUAACGGCCUACCAUGGCUACGAUGGCUAGCCGGCCUGAGAGGGCGUACGGCCACACUGGGACUGAGACAAGGCCCAGUCCCCUACGGGAGGCGCAGGCGGGAAUUGUUCAUAAUAGGCGGAAGCCAGAUGACGCGACGCCGCGUGAGGGAAGACUGCCUUUGGGUUGUAAACCUCUGUCGUCAGGGAAGAAUGUUUAGGUUUUUCCUAUUCUGACUGUACCUGACAAGAAAGCCACGGCUAACUACGUGCCAGCAGCCGCGGUAAUACGUAGGUGGCAAGCGUUGUCCGAAAUUACUGGGCGUAAAGGGCGUGUAGGCGGAACUAUAAGUCGGAUGUGAAAUCCCCCGGCUCAACCGGGGAACUGCAUUCGAUACUGUAGUUCUUGAGUACUGGAGAGGAAAGCGGAACUCAUAGUGUAGCGGUAAAAUGCAUAGAUAUUAUGAGGAACACCAGUGGCGAAGGCGGCUUUCUGGUCAGAUACUGACGCUGAUGCGCGAAAGCCAGGGGAGCGAACGGGAUUAGAUACCCCGGUAGUCCUGGCCGUAAACGUUGGGCACUAGGUGUAGGAGGAUCGACCCCUUCUAUGCCGCAGCUAACGCAUUAAGUGCCCCGCCUGGGAAGUACGAUCGCAAGGUUGAAACUCAAAGGAAUUGACGGGUCCCCGCACAAGCGGUGGAGCAUGUUGCUUAAUUCGAUUCAACGCGAAGAACCUUACCCGGACUUGACAUGCAGUUGCCGAUCUGUGAAAGCAGAUUUUCCUUCGGGACGGCUGUACAGGUGCUGCAUGGCUGUCGUCAGCUCGUGUCGUGAGAUGUUGGGUUAAGUCCCGCAACGAGCGCAACCCUCGUCAUUAGUUGCCAGCACGUAAAGGUGGGGACUCUAAUGAGACUGCCGGUGAUAAACCGGAGGAAGGCGAGGACGACGUCAAGUCAUCAUGCCCCUUACGUCCGGGGCUGCAAACGUGCUACAAUGGCUGGUACAACGGGAAGCAAUACCGCGAGGUGGAGCAAAUCCUCAAAGCCAGCCUCAGUUCGGAUUAGAGUCUGCAACUCGACUCUAUGAAGUUGGAAUCGCUAGUAAUCGCGGAUCAGCACGCCGCGGUGAAUACGUUCCCGGGCCUUGUAC